This 407-nucleotide ribosomal RNA is filed under the name uncultured bacterium. Its description in RNAcentral is "partial 16S ribosomal RNA". It matches the Rfam family "Bacterial small subunit ribosomal RNA", at positions 28 to 526 of the family's 1533-position model. The record is from RNAcentral.
GACGAACGCUGGCGGCGUGCCUAAUACAUGCAAGUCGAACGCAGUUGCGAACGGGUGAGUAAAGCGUAGGUAACUGCCUCAUAGCGGGGGAUAACUAUUGGAAACGAUAGCUAAUACCGCAUACUGUGAGAUGGACCUGAGUUGUAUUAGCUAGUUGGUUAGGUAAAGGCUCACCAAGGCGACGUAUCAUAGCCGACCUGAGAAGGGGAUCGGCCACACUGGGGCUUGGAAACGGCCCAGACUCCUACGGGAGGCAGCAGUAGGGAAUCUUCGGGAAUGGACGGAAGUCUGAACGAGCAACGCCGCGUGAGUGAAGAAGGUUUUCGGGUCGUAAAGCUCUGUUGUUAGAGAAGCGGUACCUAACCAGAAAGCGACGGCUAACUACGUGCCAGCAGCCGCGGUAAUUC